RNAcentral lists this ribosomal RNA (457 nucleotides) under uncultured bacterium. RNAcentral describes it as "bacterial SSU rRNA". It matches the Rfam family "Bacterial small subunit ribosomal RNA", at positions 46 to 496 of the family's 1533-position model. The record is from RNAcentral.
GCCUAACACAUGCAAGUAGAACGGUAACAGAGAGAGCUUGCUCUCUGCUGACGAGUUGCGAACGGGUGCGUAACGCGUAUGCAACCUACCCAUAACAGGGGGAUAGCCCAUAGAAAUGUGGAUUAAUACCCCAUAAUAUCAUAGAUUGGCAUCAUGAAAUGAUUAAAACUCCGGUGGUUAUGGAUGGGCAUGCGUGACAUUAGCUAGUUGGUGAGGUAACUGCUCACCAAGGCGACGAUGUCUAGGGGUUCUGAGAGGAUGAUCCCCCACACUGGUACUGAGACACGGACCAGACUCCUACGGGAGGCAGCAGUGAGGAAUAUUGCGCAAUGGAGGAAACUCUGACGCAGCCAUGCCGCGUGCAGGAAGACUGCCCUAUGGGUUGUAAACUGCUUUUAUAUAGGAAGAACUACAGCUACGUGUAGCUGUUUGACGGUACUAUACGAAUAAGGACCGG